AAAAGUGUCAAUUUCGGUGCCGAUAUUUCAUUGUUAUGGACACAAGGCUUCAUGCCAGGAAAAUCGUUAACGUCGAAGCUUAAAAAAUGUCUACAACUUAAAA
Molecule: long non-coding RNA, 103 nt
Organism: Xenia sp. Carnegie-2017
Lineage: Eukaryota; Metazoa; Cnidaria; Anthozoa; Malacalcyonacea; Xeniidae
Exons: 2
Source: RefSeq, a predicted model, not a curated record